This 253-nucleotide ribosomal RNA is filed under the name uncultured bacterium. Its description in RNAcentral is "partial 16S ribosomal RNA". It matches the Rfam family "Bacterial small subunit ribosomal RNA", at positions 524 to 776 of the family's 1533-position model. The record is from RNAcentral.
UACGAAGGGGGCUAGCGUUGCUCGGAAUGACUGGGCGUAAAGGGCGCGUAGGCGGUUUGUACCGUCAGGUGUGAAAUUCCCGGGCUCAACCUGGGGGCUGCACUUGAUACGUAUGGACUGGAGUGGGGAAGAGGGUCGUGGAAUUCCCAGUGUAGAGGUGAAAUUCGUAGAUAUUGGGAAGAACACCGGUGGCGAAGGCGGCGACCUGGUCCUUGACUGACGCUGAGGCGCGAAAGCGUGGGGAGCAAACAGG